GCGAGUGUCAUAUAGAUGAUGAAGCUUGAGCGUGAGCACAAGUGGAGUCUACAUGAGCAAGAAUGCCGGCGUAAGUAACGUAUGAAAGUGAAAAUCUUUCUAGCCGAAUGACCAAGGUUUCCAGGGCAAGGGUCGUCCACCCUGGGUUAGUCGAACCUAAGAUGAGGCCGAGAGGCGUAGUCGAUGGACAGCGAGUUAAUAUUCUUGCACUCAUCUGGUUGGUGAAGGGAUGACAGAAGAGGUUAAUAUGAGCGGGUUAAUGGAUUCCCGUUUAAAUUCCAAGUAGGAGAGAUAGGAAAACCCGUCUCUCAAUAACUACAAGGGAUGAAUAGGAGUGAAAGAGCAAAACUCAAGUAACGUAGUCAUAUACAUCACAUUCUCAAGAAAAGUCUCUAGCAUAACAACCAGGUAGCCGUACCGAGAACGAACACACGUGGUCAAGGAGAAAAUCCUAAGGCUAUCGAGAUAACUACAGUUAAGGAACUCUGCAAAAUCACCCCGUAACUUAGGGAGAAGGGGUGCCUGCUAAGUGCAGGCCACAGUAAAGAAUGAGGGGGGACUGUUUAACAAAAACAUAGCUAUAUGCAAAAACGAAAGUUAAAGUAUAUGUGGCGACACCU
This 620-nucleotide ribosomal RNA is filed under the name uncultured bacterium. RNAcentral's name for it is "partial 23S ribosomal RNA". It matches the Rfam family "Bacterial large subunit ribosomal RNA", at positions 1232 to 1860 of the family's 2925-position model. The record is from RNAcentral.